AGAACGAACGCUGGCGGCAGGCUUAACACAUGCAAGUCGAACGCCCCGCAAGGGGGGUGGCAGACGGGUGAGUAACGCGUGGGAAUCUACCUAGCUCUUCGGAAUAGCUCCGGGAAACUGGAAUUAAUACCGAGUACGCCCUACGGGGGAAAGAUUUAUCGGAGUUAGAUGAGCCCGCGUUGGAUUAGCUAGUUGGUGGGUAAUGGCCUACCAAGGCGACGAUCCAUAGCUGGUCUGAGGAGGAUGAUCAGCCACACUGGGACUGAGACACGGCCCAGACUCCGUACGGGGAGGCAGCGAGGUGGGGAAUAUUGGACAAAGUGGGCGCAAGCCCUGAUCCCAAGCCAUGGCCGCGUGAGGUGAAGUGGAAAGGGCCCGUUAAGGGGGUUGUAAAA
This 395-nucleotide ribosomal RNA is filed under the name uncultured soil bacterium. RNAcentral's name for it is "bacterial SSU rRNA". It matches the Rfam family "Bacterial small subunit ribosomal RNA", at positions 26 to 451 of the family's 1533-position model. The record is from RNAcentral.